UACGUAGGGGGCAAGCGUUGUCCGGAAUCACUGGGCGUAAAGCGCGCGUAGGCGGCCCGGUAAGUCCGUUGUGAAAGUCAAAGGCUCAACCUUUGAACGCCGAUGGAUACUGCCGGGCUAGAGUCCGGAAGAGGCGAGUGGAAUUCCUGGUGUAGCGGUGGAAUGCGCAGAUAUCAGGAGGAACACCGAUGGCGAAGGCAGCGCGCUGGGACGGUACUGACGCUGAGGCGCGAAAGCGUGGGGAGCGAACAGG
RNAcentral lists this ribosomal RNA (253 nucleotides) under uncultured bacterium. RNAcentral describes it as "partial 16S ribosomal RNA". It matches the Rfam family "Bacterial small subunit ribosomal RNA", at positions 524 to 776 of the family's 1533-position model. The record is from RNAcentral.